This 232-nucleotide unclassified non-coding RNA is filed under the name uncultured fungus. RNAcentral describes it as "sequence contains ITS1, 5.8S rRNA gene". The stretch from base 184 to 232 matches the Rfam family "5.8S ribosomal RNA", at positions 1 to 49 of the family's 154-position model. The record is from RNAcentral. Lineage: Eukaryota; Fungi.
UUUCCGUAGGUGAACCUGCGGAAGGAUCAUUACCGAGUUAGGGUGCUUCUCAGCGCCCGACCUCCCAACCCUUUGUGAAUCGUACUCGUUGCUUCGGGGGCGACCCUGCCGUCCGCGGCUGAGCGCCCCCGGGGUCAAUCAAACACUGCAUUCUCUGCGUCGGAGUUUAAGUAAAUUAAACAAAACUUUCAACAACGGAUCUCUUGGUUCUGGCAUCGAUGAAGAACGCAGC